Molecule: ribosomal RNA, 506 nt
Filed under: uncultured bacterium
Lineage: Bacteria
Description: partial 16S ribosomal RNA
Rfam family: Bacterial small subunit ribosomal RNA
Source: RNAcentral
AGUGAACGCUGGCGGUAGGCCUAACACAUGCAAGUCGAACGGCAGCACAGAGGAGCUUGCUCCUUGGGUGGCGAGUGGCGGUCGGGUGAGGAAUACAUCGGAAUCUACUCUGUCGUGGGGGAUAACGUAGGGAAACUUACGCUAAUACCGCAUACGACCUACGGGUGAAAGCAGGGGACCUUCGGGCCUUGCGCGAUUGAAUGAGCCGAUGUCGGAUUAGCUAGUUGGCGGGGUAAAGGCCCACCAAGGCGGCAAUCCGUAGCUGGUCUGAGAGGAUGAUCAGCCACACUGGAACUGGGACACGGUCCAGACUCCUAAGGGAGGCAGCAGUGGGGAAUAUUGGACAAUGGGCGCAAGCCUGAUCCAGCCAUACCGCGUGGGUGAAGAAGGCCUUCGGGUUGUAAAGCCCUUUUGUUGGGAAAGAAAUCCAGCUGGCUAAUACCCGGUUGGGAUGACGGUACCCAAAGAAUAAGCACCGGCUAACUUCGUGCCAGCAGCCGCCGUAA